This 548-nucleotide ribosomal RNA is filed under the name uncultured Glomus. RNAcentral describes it as "SSU rRNA". It matches the Rfam family "Eukaryotic small subunit ribosomal RNA", at positions 548 to 1098 of the family's 1831-position model. The record is from RNAcentral. Lineage: Eukaryota; Fungi; Glomeromycota; Glomeromycetes; Glomerales; Glomeraceae.
UUGGAGGGCAAGUCUGGUGCCAGCAGCCGCGGUAAUUCCAGCUCCAAUAGCGUAUAUUAAAGUUGUUGCAGUUAAAAAGCUCGUAGUUGAAUUUCGGGAUCAAUUUAUUGGUCGUGCUAUUGUACGUACUGGUAUUAUUGAUUCCUACCUUCUGACGAACCAUGAUGUCAUUAAUUUGGUGUUAUGGGAAGUUAGGACUGUUACUUUGAAAAAAUUAGAGUGUUUAAAGCAGGCUUUAGCUUGAAUACAUUAGCAUGGAAUAAUGAAAUAGGACGUUCGAACCUAUUUUGUUGGUUUCUAGGAUCAACGUAAUGAUUAAUAGGGAUAGUUGGGGGCAUUAGUAUUCAAUUGUCAGAGGUGAAAUUCCUGGAUUUAUUGAAGACUAACUACUGCGAAAGCAUUUGCCAAGGAUGUUUUCAUUAAUCAAGAACGAAAGUUAGGGGAUCGAAGACGAUCAGAUACCGUCGUAGUCUUAACCAUAAACUAUGCCGACUAGGGAUCGGAUGAUGUUAAUUUUUUAAUGACUCAUUCGGCGCCUUACGGGAAAC